AACAUCUCUCCUAGACUGAAAAACAGGUGUUUUUGGACUAGGCUAUUUAGUCUUAAGUCCUUCGAGGACUCCGUUAUUAAGGUGAUGACACCGGUGGAUACUCCUCUAGUCUACCGCUCUGUCGCUAGUCAUUGAACAAUCCUUAGAGUCAUGGGAUCGUGUGACUCGCUGAACAAGCCUUAAUAACUUUGACGGAGAGGAUCAA
Molecule: non-coding RNA, 205 nt
Organism: Beggiatoa sp. IS2
Lineage: Bacteria; Pseudomonadati; Pseudomonadota; Gammaproteobacteria; Thiotrichales; Thiotrichaceae
Source: Rfam